UCGCGUCACCGGGGGUGCCCUGCUUCGGCAGCGGCUGAGAACACACCCCAGGAACCUGAACCGGGUCAUUCCGGCGGAGGGAGUGUGAUGCUCUGCUCCG
RNAcentral lists this non-coding RNA (100 nucleotides) under Deinococcus radiodurans. Its description in RNAcentral is "TPP sequence". It matches the Rfam family "TPP riboswitch aptamer (THI element)". From Rfam's summary of the family: Vitamin B(1) in its active form thiamin pyrophosphate (TPP) is an essential coenzyme that is synthesised by coupling of pyrimidine and thiazole moieties in bacteria. The previously detected thiamin-regulatory element, thi box was extended, resulting in a new, highly conserved RNA secondary structure, the THI element, which is widely distributed in eubacteria and also occurs in some archaea. Analysis of operon structures identified a large number of new candidate thiamin-regulated genes, mostly transporters, in various prokaryotic organisms. Lineage: Bacteria; Thermotogati; Deinococcota; Deinococci; Deinococcales; Deinococcaceae. The record is from RNAcentral. RNAcentral also lists the same sequence under 1 other name.